UUUUGGCAAAUUAUUGCAAUUCUCUAGAAUUCUCUGUUAAUUGAUAUAGAAUAGCAUGUCAUUGUGUUAUCUAGGUUUGUUUGCAUGUCUAAGAGUUGUAUUAUGGGUUUAAAAUCAUGCUUGAGGUUGAUUAUGUUGGAACUCUGCCAAAGUAGAGUCCUUAUUUUUCAUUCUGGUCAAAGUGGCGUUGCCGCGCCACUUCUAUAGUACAUGACCGCGCGGCCGCGCCUGCUGCCAGUCAUGUGUACUAAUUUUUGUGAUCAUGUUCCAUUCUGAGCAUGUUACUUUGAAUUGAAUAUGC
Molecule: long non-coding RNA, 301 nt
Filed under: Panax ginseng (ginseng)
Lineage: Eukaryota; Viridiplantae; Streptophyta; Magnoliopsida; Apiales; Araliaceae
Description: long non-coding RNA (PGIN_LNC014869)
Source: RNAcentral